This 65-nucleotide transfer RNA is filed under the name Curtonida isos. RNAcentral describes it as "Munida isos tRNA-Tyr". It matches the Rfam family "tRNA". Rfam says of the family: Transfer RNA (tRNA) molecules are approximately 80 nucleotides in length. Their secondary structure includes four short double-helical elements and three loops (D, anti-codon, and T loops). Further hydrogen bonds mediate the characteristic L-shaped molecular structure. tRNAs have two regions of fundamental functional importance: the anti-codon, which is responsible for specific mRNA codon recognition, and the 3' end, to which the tRNAs corresponding amino acid is attached (by aminoacyl-tRNA synthetases). tRNAs cope with the degeneracy of the genetic code in two manners: having more than one tRNA (with a specific anti-codon) for a particular amino acid; and 'wobble' base-pairing, i.e. permitting non-standard base-pairing at the 3rd anti-codon position. Lineage: Eukaryota; Metazoa; Arthropoda; Malacostraca; Decapoda; Munididae. The record is from RNAcentral.
AAUAAGAUGGCUGAGCAUUAGGCACUAGAUUGUAAAUCUAUACACGGAUUUAAAUCCUUUUAUUA